Stomoxys calcitrans (stable fly) is the source of this 869-nucleotide long non-coding RNA. RefSeq lists it as uncharacterized. Lineage: Eukaryota; Metazoa; Arthropoda; Insecta; Diptera; Muscidae. The transcript is spliced from 3 exons. The record is from RefSeq and is a predicted model, not a curated record.
GUAAGUUCUUCUAAUGUUGUUUCUUUUUAGAUUUUCGGGAAGUGUGCAAUGACUAAAUCAUAACCACAUUCAGAUGACCACUGCAACAAGCCACACCAGGUCACAAAACUUUGUCCUGCUGCCGAGGCCAAAAUAGUAGUAGUGCUUGGAGCAAGCAGAAUAUUUUCACGCGAAAUCUUUAAACAGCCUUAGGCUGUUUACAAAAAUAAACAACGCAAAGAGCCAAGCAAAGUAGAAAAACAAAAUGUUGGUCCUUUCUCCAAACUAUAGCAGCAAUUAAAGCGCCAAUGCAACUGCAACUUUUGUGUCUUGAAGCAUUUUGCUGAACGCCAGUGCAGACAUAAAAUCAUGAAGUCGAUUUCUUCUUUGCCGCUGAAUACUUUUCACGCUGCCAAUUACGAAGAACGCCAAGAUGCUAUGAAAGGACUAAUUUCAACUUGGGGAUUAAAAGUUUCCAGUUUGUAUUUAGUUUGACUAGAAACGGAAAUUACUUUUGAUUUUAUUACUUAUUGAAGGUGUGGGGUGACAAGAUGCUGAAAGCCCUUGGGCAUUUUUCUUAAAAAAUAAUAGCAAAAUUGAGUUUUUUACACAGCCGGAAGUAUAUGCUCGCUAAUGCAACACACGGUUUUGGGUAAAUCUUUUUUGCAACUUUAAAAUUAUUCGUUGUUGUCUUGAUGAGUGUCCUCCUAAGUGUGACAAGGACCCUUUUGGGAGAAAUGCUGGUUAGACAACUAAAUUAUUCAGUAACGGAAAUUAGUUCCGUGUAUCAAUUUUCCACAACUUGGAUAUUUGGCUUUCCUCAGAAACUCAUGAGUAACAUAUCGACUGUGUAUUUGGCAAAUAUGCGUUUUAAAAUCUUAAUGAACAUU